ACAGCAGUAGCCACGGUAAUACGAAGGGGGCUAGCGUUGUUCGGAUUUACUGGGCGUAAAGGGCGCGUAGGCGGACUGAUAAGUCAGGGGUGAAAUCCCAAGGCUCAACCUUGGAACUGCCUUUGAUACUGUUUGUCUUGAGUUCGAGAGAGGUAAGUGGAACUGCGAGUGUAGAGGUGAAAUUCGUAGAUAUUCGCAAGAACACCCGUGGCGAAGGCGGCUUACUGGCUCGAAACUGACGCUGAGGCGCGAAAGCGUGGGAAGCAAACAGGAUUAGAUACCCCAGUAGUCCCUGUCUCUUAUAC
Molecule: ribosomal RNA, 305 nt
Filed under: uncultured bacterium
Lineage: Bacteria
Description: partial 16S ribosomal RNA
Rfam family: Bacterial small subunit ribosomal RNA
Source: RNAcentral